UUUGGCCUUGCAAUCUCCAAUUUAAGAAAACACCUUAAUUCUCCAAAGUAUUUGAUCGUAAAAUUAUUUGGUAAAUAGUUCUUAACUUUCUAUAUUUUCAUAAAAUCAAUUCAAGUUAGAAUAAUAUCAUGAACAUAUACCAUUAAUAUAACCUUAUUAGAACAUGAAUUCUUAAUGAAUAAAGAGGACAUGAAUUAUUAAUGAAUAAGGAGUAACCAUAACGAGUUUCUCCAAAUUCAUGUGAGAGUAAUGAUCUCUCGAGCUUAGAAAACCAUUGCAUGCAAGCCUGUUUUAACCCAUGAGUGAUUUCCUCAAUCUGCUACAAGUACCUAGAUUGGAUGAAUUAUCAUGUAGGCUUCUUCUGAUAAAUCUAUGUGUAGAAACACAUUUGAAACAUCAAUUUGAGGUAGAUUUAGGUUCUAUGCUACAUCUACACUACAAGAAACCGCAUGUUUAACGACAGUUUUUUCUCUAUUUUAACAGCAGUUAGUUCAUUGUUAAAAAUCUUAAAUCCGCCGUUAGAUUAAGUAAUGGUAAAUAAGCUAACGACAAAUUUGUAUCCGUUGUUAAAAUAACAGUGGAUUUUAUCCACUGUUAAAGGUAAUAACAACGGAUUUUGUCUGCUGUUAAAGCUAACAAAACAUAAAGUCUGCCGUUAAACUUUCCGUCAAGUAAUAAAAAAAUGUAGAAAUCCAACUGGGUUUCUGCGUUCGUCUUCAUCAUUCGUCAUUCGUGUCAGACUGAGCUUUUUAUUAUCUUCUUCUUCGUCCUUGUCAAUCAUCAUCUUCAUCUUCUUCUUCUUGAAAUAUUCUUUUAUUUUUUUCUUUUUCUUCUUCUUUAUUGAUUAUUCUCCAUCUUCUUUUUCUUCAUCUUGUUUUAUAUUGGUUCUUCUUCUUUUUCUUCUUCAUUAACUUUUUUUUAUCUUCUUUUUCUUCAUUAAAUGUUCAUCAUCAUCUUUUUUUUUCUUCGUUAUCUUCUUCUUGUUCUUCUUGUUCUUGUUCUUCUUCUUGUUUAUCUUCAUUGAAAAAAUAAAGUGCAAGAAAAUGAAAAAAGAAAAAUGAAGAAAAAUUUAAAGAAUGAAGAAUGAAGGAGAU
Molecule: long non-coding RNA, 1094 nt
Filed under: Linum usitatissimum (flax)
Lineage: Eukaryota; Viridiplantae; Streptophyta; Magnoliopsida; Malpighiales; Linaceae
Description: long non-coding RNA (LUSI_LNC004897)
Source: RNAcentral